GUGUGGUGGUUGGAGAAGGGUGGGAAAGGCUGUAAGAGGCUGUCACUCCCCUCAGUGGAAAAUGUCCUGCCAGAGGAGGAGAUCUAAGCCUGCCUCUAGUCUGGAACUCAGCUGGCUGCCUGGCUUUCUAGCAGAACUUCUCCUCCAGGAAGCCCACCGGCAUCUCGCAGAUGAAACUCAGUGAAUCUUCAUUGACACGAGCAUCAUCAUCCUCAUCCCCAUCUUCCAGAUGAGAAGACUGAGGCACAGCGCAGUUUCAGGUACAACACAACGAUUCGAUAUUUGUAAAUCUUGAGAAACGAUCGCCACGGUAAGUCUAGUUAGCUUCCGUCACCAUGCAUAGUUACAAAUUUUUUUUCUUGUGAUCAGAACUUUUAGCAUCUCCUCUCUUAGCAUCUUUCCAAUACACGAUAUAGCAUUAUUAACUACAGUCACCACGCCAUCUAUUACACCCCCAGGACUUAAUUAUUUUAUAUCUGGAAGUUUGUACCUUUUGACCUCCUUCACCCAUUUCCCACCCCCGAC
Long non-coding RNA from Equus caballus (horse), 525 nucleotides. RefSeq lists it as uncharacterized. NCBI's taxonomy places the organism in Eukaryota, Metazoa, Chordata, Mammalia, Perissodactyla, Equidae. The record is from RefSeq and is a predicted model, not a curated record.